RNAcentral lists this ribosomal RNA (482 nucleotides) under uncultured bacterium. Its description in RNAcentral is "partial 16S ribosomal RNA". It matches the Rfam family "Bacterial small subunit ribosomal RNA", at positions 30 to 507 of the family's 1533-position model. The record is from RNAcentral.
AUUGAACGCUGGCGGCAUGCUUUACACAUGCAAGUCGAACGGUAACAGGCCGCAAGGUGCUGACGAGUGGCGAACGGGUGAGUAAUGCAUCGGAACGUGUCCAGUCGUGGGGGAUAACUACUCGAAAGAGUAGCUAAUACUGCAUACGAUCUAUGGAUGACAGCGGGGGACCGUAAGGCCUCGCGCGAUUGGAGCGGCCGAUGUCAGAUUAGGUAGUUGGUGGGGUAAAGGCUCACCAAGCCAACGAUCUGUAGCUGGUCUGAGAGGACGACCAGCCACACUGGGACUGAGACACGGCCCAGACUCCUACGGGAGGCAGCAGUGGGGAAUUUUGGACAAUGGGCGCAAGCCUGAUCCAGCAAUGCCGCGUGCAGGAAGAAGGCCUUCGGGUUGUAAACUGCUUUUGUACGGAACGAAACGGCUCUGGUUAAUACCCGGGGCUAAUGACGGUACCGUAAGAAUAAGCACCGGCUAACUACGCG